GGAGACUGAGAGACCGCCUGGUGCGGGGGGCUGCCACCAGAGGGCUGGUGCGUGGAGGAGGCACCGGAUAGACCGGACCAUGGAGGUGCACUGUAGGUCUCGAGCACCGAGCCUGCACAACCCUACCUGGCUGGAUACUCCCCGUAGCCAGGCCAGUGUGGCGAGGUGGUAUAGACCGCACUGAGCUGUGCUGGCGAACCGGGGACACCAUACGUAGGGCUGGUGCCAUGUACCCCGGCCCGAGAAGACCCACUGGAGACCAGAGGCGCUGAGCCGGCUUCAUGGCACCUGGCUCGAUGCCCACUCUAGCCCGGCCGAUGCGAGGCCCUGCUAUGUAUAACGCACCGGACUAUGCCUGCGCACCAGGGACACCGUGCGCCUCGCGGUAUAACACAGUGCCUGCCCGGUUCACCUCUUUCCACGGUAAGCACGGGGAGUUAGCUCAGGUCUCCUACCUGACUUAGCGACACUCCACAUGUGCCCCGUGUGCACUGCCGUGCCAACUCCUCAAAAUGCCGCCGCUCUGCUUUGGCUGCCUUCAGCUCUUCCCUGGGGCGGCGAUAUUCCCCAGCCUGUGUCCAGGGUCCCUUGCCAUCCAGAAUCUCCUCCCAUGUCCAGGAGUCUUGAGAUUUCUGCCGCUGCCCGUUACCACGCUGCUUGGUCCUUGGUUGGUGGGUGAUUCUGUAAUGGCUGUCUGUGGUGGAAGAAGGUGAGGACCAAUGCGUAGCGUGAUGAACGUGGUACCUUCAGGCAUCUGGAAAUUCCUCUGACACCGCCUGGUAUAGAGGUCCUGGAUGGCAGGAAGCUUGGCUCCAGUGAUGUACUGGGCCAUAUGCACUACCCUCUUUGAUUUGAUUUAUUAGGAUCCCCAUUUUUGUUUCAUCAGACCAGAGGACAUUUCUCCAAAAA
Oncorhynchus tshawytscha (Chinook salmon) is the source of this 909-nucleotide long non-coding RNA. The record is from Ensembl. NCBI's taxonomy places the organism in Eukaryota, Metazoa, Chordata, Actinopteri, Salmoniformes, Salmonidae.